This 486-nucleotide ribosomal RNA is filed under the name uncultured bacterium. RNAcentral's name for it is "bacterial SSU rRNA". It matches the Rfam family "Bacterial small subunit ribosomal RNA", at positions 28 to 507 of the family's 1533-position model. The record is from RNAcentral.
GAUGAACGCUAGCGGCAGGCUUAACACAUGCAAGUCGAGGGGCAGCACAGUGUAGCAAUACAUGGGUGGCGACCGGCGCACGGGUGCGUAACGCGUAUCCAACCUUCCCGAUACUCUUGGAUAGCCUUCCGAAAGGGAGAUUAAUACAAGAUGGUGUUUCACUUUCGCAUGUUAUUGAAACUAAAGAUUUAUCGGUAUCGGAUGGGGAUGCGUGACAUUAGAUAGUAGGCGGGGUAACGGCCCACCUAGUCUACGAUGUCUAGGGGUUCUGAGAGGAAGGUCCCCCACACUGGAACUGAGACACGGUCCAGACUCCUACGGGAGGCAGCAGUGAGGAAUAUUGGUCAAUGGUCGGAAGACUGAACCAGCCAAGUAGCGUGAAGGAUGAAGGUUCUAUGGAUUGUAAACUUCUUUUAUACGGGAAUAAAACCACCUACGUGUAGGUGCUUGUAUGUACCGUAUGAAUAAGCAUCGGCUAACUCCGUG